ACACGUGCCUUGCAGAUAAGCAUGAAUGCUCCUGUUAUGGUCGAGCUUGAAGGGGGGACUUAUCCACUUGAGGUGGAGGCGCUUGAGCGGGUGUAUACCGAUUGCCCCAAGCCAACCUCCGCGCGCAGGCAACAACUGCUGUUUUUAGGUACCCAGGUAACCCUCAAGGUACUCCUGCACUGUCACGUCUGUCUCCCCCCGACACUCUGCCUGAUCCCCCAACUGUGAGAAGGUAGCUGCACAUCAUAAUGGACAUGGCACGAGCCAUGAGAAUCACACACAAGAAAGUGAGUCAUCUGUUGAGCAGCAUGAUCCUGAAAGCCAAGACGACAUCAGCAUAAAAGCCACACCUGCUGAUGAAUCACCACCGGAGGAGACAUCUGCAGCACCUACUAAAGAGCAGCUAUGUGUACUCUCUCAACCGCUCAAGGCAGUAGCAAAAGGAGCAAGCGUGGAAGACCAGCGAUUGCCAGAUUGGCCUCACUAUGGACCAGAUCCGGUUUCUUCUAAGAGGAACUUUCUCUGCGACUGUAGACAGCAGGGCAUCGCCGCAUUGCCAAUCAUCUAUCCUGAUUGUUAGGCUAAUGGUGGGGCAUCAGGAUUUUGUUGACCUUGCUGGAAGUGAACAAGCUGCACAAACACAUGCAGUUGGCGCAAGACUGAAAGAAGGCUGCCAUAUAAAUCGCAGCUUACUGACUCUUACUACUGUCAUCAGGGAGCUAAGGUCUGAUUUUCUUAAGAAGGAAAAAAAAAACUCUGGGUCUAUUAUCUCUUAUCUGCACUAAUCUUGAAAGUAGUUGCUGGGUUACCUCAUUGCACUCAUGGGUUAGUCUCAUUUCUAAUGUUAUCAGACAAUAGAUCAUUGGAUCAGAUGGAUUACAUCCUUCUCUACAAUUUUAAUGCUCUUAGCUGGUAGAUCAUUGAAUGGUUAGUAUGGUCAAUUAUGGGUUGUAUGCUGAUAUGGUGUAUAUUUGUCUGCAGGAUUUUUUUUCUUUCCUUUCCCUAUUAUCAUUCUCUAUGGUGAGGUAUAGCUUUUUAUUUGUAUUUUACUCAUUUAGGCCUUUUGCGAUAGCUAUCUUGAUGGAAUUAUUGUAGUUUCCAUAAUUAUAUUCAGCUAUUUGUCUUUUAAAACUGAAGCUAUGAGCUUAGAAUAGCAUAGUAUUUGUUGUCGAAAAUAGAGAUGAUUUCCUAUAGCCCACUAUGGAGUGAUGGCAGGAUAGGUGUGGCUCUCUGUUUCUAACCCCAGUCGUCAUUUAUACUAUUAUGCGGUCUGUGUGCCAGCACUGUAGUUAGAAAGGACCACUCUUGCAAGGAUAUUUCUCCACUCUUGCAAGGACCACUCUUGAACGCCAACGGAUUAAAUUAAAUUUUCAUUUACUCGAUUUUAAUCGAACGGUGAUUUACGGGUUUGCUUUGGAUUGGCUAGAUUGGGAAGAAUGCUCUCGCAAACUGUAUUAUCAAAUUUUCUGGGUUACCUACAGGAAAGCGAAGUGUGGGUUGUUCGUCACCCAUAGGGUCAUGCCAAUUGCCAAGAUUGAUGUUGGGCGUUCGGUUUAGGCUCAUGUUGUUAGUGUAAAUGUGCCACACUGAUAGAGAUGCAGAAAGGGUUAUUUUGUAUAAAUGGGAGUAUGGGUUGGUCCUGUUGGACAGGGUUAGUACCAUCAGAAAGGAUUCUGGCAGUAUGUCAAUGUAGGUAUCAUUAAGUUAUUUUGCUUUUGAAAGAGGAACCACCUGUCAGGGAAAAAAGACUGGUGCAUGACAAGGGGAAAAAAGUAGUCGCAAAGAAAAUUCGCAAACGAAGUUAGGUUUAGAUGUAAAACCACAAUUAUGGUCUCUGGUUGACUUUACUAAAAAAGAUGAGUGGUUUUGUUGUAAGAAUGUUAACUGAGAUUUUUCUAUGUAAUGCUUGAAGCAAGCACAUACACACGUGUUGGCCGCUUACUGAUAUUUGAAGAUGAUAAUUCUGGCAUUCGCGUGGUGGAGUUGUGGUGAAAUUAGAGAAAAUGUUGAUUGCUGGAAUUGUGCAGAGAACAGCUUGUAUAAACCUUCGGGAUAUGCAAGUGCAUUUUCAUUUUACAAACUUAUGUAGCCAAUGUAACACUGGUGCAAUGGGUUUAUUAUUAUUCUUUUUCGCAAAUCUAAAUACAUAGUUAUUUAAGGAAAAAAAACUAUUGGGGCAUGAGUUUCUUUUAGUGUAAAAAAGAAACUCUGGUUAAAAAACAACUUUUGAGGUUGAGUAAAUGUGAUUUAAAUAAAAAUUAGCUUGGCUGCAUUUUCUUGUUAGAUUGAAGUGUUUAAUACUGAAGAAACUGAGCAGCCACAAGGAGGCUCCAAUGGUAUGAUGUUUGUGUUAUGCACUUAUUUUUAUCCUUCAAUUUGCAUGUGUUAUUUUAGAGCUGAACUAUUUUUCCUGUCGUACAGGUCAAAUAAAUCAUGGCAAAUACUCAACAAGGAGUCUCUCAUCUAAAGAGUACUCGCAGCUAACUGGAUUUAACUAAUAAUGAUACCACUGUUGUUGGCAUUGUAUGUAUAUGUUGGCUUUGUAUGUACAUGUUUUUCAACAAGACAAGUACAAAUUAGUGAAUGAUCCUUCAUCUCUAGCCUUGUAUAAAUGUGUAAUAUAUGAAAUCUGCAUGUUUCUCGUUACUGUA
Non-coding RNA from Oryza sativa Japonica Group (Japanese rice), 2651 nucleotides. Lineage: Eukaryota; Viridiplantae; Streptophyta; Magnoliopsida; Poales; Poaceae. The record is from RefSeq and is a predicted model, not a curated record.